GGCGCCGUGGCGGAGUGGAUACGCAAAGGACUGCAAAUCCUUGCAGCGCUGGUUCGAAUCCAGCGCGGGGCCU
RNAcentral lists this transfer RNA (73 nucleotides) under Rhodopseudomonas pseudopalustris. Its description in RNAcentral is "tRNA_Cys_GCA". It matches the Rfam family "tRNA". Rfam says of the family: Transfer RNA (tRNA) molecules are approximately 80 nucleotides in length. Their secondary structure includes four short double-helical elements and three loops (D, anti-codon, and T loops). Further hydrogen bonds mediate the characteristic L-shaped molecular structure. tRNAs have two regions of fundamental functional importance: the anti-codon, which is responsible for specific mRNA codon recognition, and the 3' end, to which the tRNAs corresponding amino acid is attached (by aminoacyl-tRNA synthetases). tRNAs cope with the degeneracy of the genetic code in two manners: having more than one tRNA (with a specific anti-codon) for a particular amino acid; and 'wobble' base-pairing, i.e. permitting non-standard base-pairing at the 3rd anti-codon position. Lineage: Bacteria; Pseudomonadati; Pseudomonadota; Alphaproteobacteria; Hyphomicrobiales; Nitrobacteraceae. The record is from RNAcentral.